This 500-nucleotide ribosomal RNA is filed under the name uncultured bacterium. RNAcentral describes it as "partial 16S ribosomal RNA". It matches the Rfam family "Bacterial small subunit ribosomal RNA", at positions 30 to 523 of the family's 1533-position model. The record is from RNAcentral.
AUUGAACGCUGGCGGCAGGCCUAACACAUGCGAGUCGAGCGGUAGAGAGAAGCUUGCUUCUCUUGAGAGCGGCGGACGGGUGAGUAAAGUCUAGGAAUCUGCCUGGUAGUGGGGGAUAACGUUCGGAAACGGACGCUAAUACCGCAUACGUCCUACGGGAGAAAGCAGGGGAUCUUCGGGCCUUGCGCUAUCAGAUGAGCCUAGGUCGGAUUAGCUAGUUGGUGAGGUAAUGGCUCACCAAGGCGACGAUCCGUAACUGGUCUGAGAGGAUGAUCAGUCACACUGGAACUGAGACACGGUCUAGACUCCUACGGGAGGCAGCAGUGGGGAAUAUUGGACAAUGGGCGAAAGCCUGAUCCAGCCAUGCCGCGUGUGUGAAGAAGGUCUUCGGAUUGUAAAGCACUUUAAGUUGGGAGGAAGGGCAUUAACCUAAUACGUUAGUGUUUUGACGUUACCGACAGAAUAAGCACCGGCUAACUCUGUGCCAGCAGCCGCCGUAA